Molecule: long non-coding RNA, 707 nt
Organism: Balaenoptera musculus (blue whale)
Lineage: Eukaryota; Metazoa; Chordata; Mammalia; Artiodactyla; Balaenopteridae
Exons: 3
Source: RefSeq, a predicted model, not a curated record
AGCCUGUGCCUCGCCUCCCCAGCUCCAGCGCGUGAGGGUCAGGCCUGUCGGAGGCGGAGGCGUUCGGAGCCACAAGCAGGACAAGGGCACGAGCCCCGCCGCGCCCGGCCCGAGCAGACCCGGGGCGGCGGGCAUCGGUCACCAAGCAGGGGGCGAGUUAGAGGCGUGGAGCCGGGGAAGGGCGCAUGCAGGUACCCUGACCGAUGCUCCUGCCCAGGUGAAUCUCAGCACUGCCACGGGCAUCCUCGUCUCUGCAACAAUAGACCUGCUGUUGUCUAAGAAAACCAUAUAAGAGUGACAAUUGAGUGAUGAGCCUCCGAGCAGUCGUGCCACUUGCUCACGGACUCACUACUAGUUGAUGGCAGUGUUGGGACUCAAAAAUCAAGAAAGCCCAUUCUCAGGGCUCGAGUCCUCCCAUGCUGCCACAUGCUUUACUCACCUCCAAACAACUGUUGAUUGUCCCAAAAGUUAAAUCCAUCCUUCAAGAAUGCUAUUAGCUUCCAUAGAGAGCAUUACAAAUAAUGUACCACAAUUCUAUAAACAUAAUUGACAAAAAUACUUAGAGCAACAGUAACACCGUGUGAGUGGAAUGCCUUCCAAAGUGACUACUUCGAAAGAGACACAAUUUCUACAUAUAAGUUCUGGUUCUUAAAACUCGUAAAAUAGAUAGCUAGUGGGAAGCAACCGCAUAGCACAGGGAGAUCAGU